RNAcentral lists this ribosomal RNA (391 nucleotides) under uncultured bacterium. RNAcentral describes it as "bacterial SSU rRNA". It matches the Rfam family "Bacterial small subunit ribosomal RNA", at positions 28 to 419 of the family's 1533-position model. The record is from RNAcentral.
GACGAACGCUGGCGGCGUGCUUAACACAUGCAAGUCGAGCGGUAAGGCCCUUUCGGGGGUACGACGAGCGGCGAACGGGUGAGUAACACGUGGGUGACCUGCCCUCAGCUCUGGGAUAAGCCUGGGAAACCGGGUCUAAUACUGGAUAUGACUCCAUGACGCAUGUUGUGGGGUGGAAAGCCUUGUGCGGCUGAGGAUGGGCCCGCGGCCUAUCAGCUUGUUGGUGGGGUGAGGCCUACCAAGGCGACGACGGGUAGCCGGCCUGAGAGGGCGACCGGCCACACUGGGACUGAGACACGGGCCCAGACUCCUACGGGAGGCAGCAGUGGGGAAUCUUGCGCAAUGGGCGAAAGCCUGACGCAGCGACGCCGCGUGAGGGAUGACGGCCUGG